UAAGGAAUAUUGGUCAAUGGACGCAAGUCUGAACCAGCCAUGCCGCGUGGAGGAUGAAGGCCCUCUGGGUUGUAAACUUCUUUUAUCUGGGACGAAACCCUCAUAUUCUUAUGAGACUGACGGUACCAGAGGAAUAAGCACCGGCUAACUCCGUGCCAGCAGCCGCGGUAAUACGGAGGGUGCAAGCGUUAUCCGGAUUCACUGGGUUUAAAGGGUGCGUAGGAGGGCAGGUAAGUCAGUGGUGAAAUCUCCAAGCUUAACUUGGAAACUGCCGUUGAUACUAUCUGUCUUGAAUAUUGUGGAGGUGAGCGGAAUAUGUCAUGUAGCGGUGAAAUGCUUAGAUAUGACAUAGAACACCAAUUGCGAAGGCAGCUCACUACACAAUCAUUGACUCUGAGGCACGAAAGCGUGGGGAGUCAAACAGGAUUAGAUACCCUGGUAGUCCUAGCCGUAAACGUUGGUGCUAGGUGUGGG
This 474-nucleotide ribosomal RNA is filed under the name uncultured Bacteroidota bacterium. RNAcentral describes it as "bacterial SSU rRNA". It matches the Rfam family "Bacterial small subunit ribosomal RNA", at positions 355 to 826 of the family's 1533-position model. The record is from RNAcentral. Lineage: Bacteria; Pseudomonadati; Bacteroidota.